AUUGAACGCUGGCGGCAUGCUUUACACAUGCAAGUCGAACGGUAACAGGCCUUCGGGUGCUGACGAGUGGCGAACGGGUGCGUAAUGCAUCGGAACGUACCCAGAGGUGGGGGAUAACGCAGCGAAAGCUGUGCUAAUACCGCAUGUGAUCUGAGGAUGAAAGCGGGGGACCGAGCAGCAAUGUUUGGCCUCGCGCCUUUGGAGCGGCCGAUGUCGGAUUAGCUAGUUGGUGGGGUAAAGGCCUACCAAGGCGACGAUCCGUAGCUGGUCUGAGAGGACGACCAGCCACACGGGGACUGAGACACGGCCCAGACUCCUACGGGAGGCAGCAGUGGGGAAUUUUGGACAAUGGGCGCGAGCCUGAUCCAGCAAUGCCGCGUGAGGGAAGAAGGCCUUCGGGUUGUAAACCGCUUUUGGCAGGAACGAAACGGUGUCCGCUAAUACCGGGCGCUAAUGACGGUACCUGCAGAAUAAGCACCGGCUAACUACGUG
Molecule: ribosomal RNA, 492 nt
Filed under: uncultured bacterium
Lineage: Bacteria
Description: partial 16S ribosomal RNA
Rfam family: Bacterial small subunit ribosomal RNA
Source: RNAcentral